UACGUAGGUGGCAAGCGUUGUCCGGAUUUACUGGGCGUAAAGGGCGCGCAGGCGGUCGUUUAAGUCGAAUGUGAAAGCCCCCGGCUCAACUGGGGAGGGUCAUUCGAUACUGAUCGACUUGAAGGCAGGAGAGGGAAGUGGAAUUCCGGGUGUAGUGGUGAAAUGCGUAGAUAUCAGGAGGAACACCGGUGGCGAAGGCGGGUCUCUGGGCAACUACUGACGCUGAGGAGCGAAAGCGUGGGGAGCGAACAGG
Molecule: ribosomal RNA, 253 nt
Filed under: uncultured bacterium
Lineage: Bacteria
Description: partial 16S ribosomal RNA
Rfam family: Bacterial small subunit ribosomal RNA
Source: RNAcentral